This is a non-coding RNA of Rhodocollybia butyracea, 99 nucleotides long. The record is from the annotation of a GenBank genome assembly. NCBI's taxonomy places the organism in Eukaryota, Fungi, Basidiomycota, Agaricomycetes, Agaricales, Omphalotaceae.
GGCCGCCUGGCGAAAUGGCAUCGCGUCUGACUACGAUGAGUUUCCGAUCGACAAUCUAUCAGUAUCAGGAGAUUGCAGGUUCGACCCCUGCGGUGGUCA